CAUGAACAACUUGGCAUUCCAUAAUAUGUUGUGCCCGGGCUAAUAUACAUUUAGUACAAUAAAUAUUCCAGCAUUAAUAAAUACUGUUUCCAGCAUAUAUGUACCGGCUUCCAUGAACUAUAUUCCAUUCAUGUAUUCCAAGCAAUAUUCAAGUGCAUCGGUAAAUUCCAUAUCGAGGUAAACAUAUUCCAGGAACUAUGUAGUAAAAAUGUUGCAAGCCACACAUAAGUAUUUUCUACAUCUCCCACUUGGCUAAAACAUUCUAAUUCCAUAAACGAAUACCCAUGUUGCAAACAUGUUUACAAAAUACUUCCUGACUAAGAGGUUUAGUCAGUGGAUCGGCAACCAUGUCCACACUAGGUAAAUAAUCUAAACGAAUUGUUCUUAAUCUAUUAACGACGUCACGAAUGUAAUGAUAUCUUCUCUCAAUAUGUUUGGUUUUGCUAUGAAACUUGGGAUCCUUUGAGACCUUGAUUGCCGCCUGGUUAUCACAGAAAAUAAUAACAGGAUAUGAAGCGCUUUCCACCACCAUGAGAGACGCAAGAAACCCCUUUAACCAUACACCUUCUUUCACAGCUUCCGACGCAGCAAUAUAUUCAGCCUCCAUAGAUGAAAGUGCUACAGAAUCUUGCUUCUUGCUACUUCAGGAAAUAGCUCCUCUUGCUAGUGUAAACAGAUAACCAGAAGUCGAUUUCCGGUCAUCAAGAUCCCCUUGCCAAUCAGCAUCAGUAAACCCCUGCAGCUGACGAUUGUGUCCAUUAAAACACAGAAAAUAGUCCAUAGUUCCUUUGACAUAACGCAAAGUGUUCCUAAUCUGUUUCCAAUGCUCAGGUCCAGGGUUCACUUGAUAUCUACUCAACAAACCCACGGCAUGGCAUAUAUCAGGUCUUGUAAAUAGCAUAGCAUACAUUAAAGAACCCAAUGCAGAUGAAUAAAGAAUAUUGCUCAUUUGUUUCUUUUCCUCAGGAGUUUUAGCACACAUUUCCUCACUAAGUUUAGCUCCCCUAAGAAUAGGUACUCUAACAGGCUUGCAAUUUUCCAUAGAGAAUCUCUGAAGUACAUUAUUGAGAUACGCCUUUUGAGACAAACCCAACAUUCUCUUCCUUCUAUCUCUACGUAUUUCCACUCCUAGAACAUAGGAAGCUUCCCCCAUAUCCUUCAUGUCAAAUUUAGAGGAUAACCAGGUUUUAACUUCCAUCAGUGUAGAUUUAUCAUUUGAAGCAAUGAGAAUAUCAUCAACAUAAAGAGAUAACAAAACAAAUUUAUUUCCCAUUAUCUUAAAAUAGAUACAAUGGUCACCUUCCGUCAUUGAAAAACCAUAUGACGUGAUUGCAUUAUCGAAAAGAAUAUACCACUGACGUGAGGCUUGUUUAAGACCAUAUAUAGACCUGUUUAAUUUACAGACCUUCCCUUCAUCCCCCCUUUCCACAAAACCUUCUGGUUGGUUCAUGUAUAUUUCUUCUUCCAACAUUCCAUUUAAGAAUGCUGUUUUAACAUCCAUUUGAUGCAAUUCCAGAUCAUAAUAAGCAGUUAAUGCACUAAUGAUCCGUAUGGAGGUAAAUUUAGCAACGGGAGAAAAGGUUUCUACAAAAUCAACUCCUUCCAUUUGUGUAAAUCCUUUAGCAACAAGCCUUGCUUUAUACUUAUCCACCUGACCAGUCGCAUUCAGUUUCCUUUUAAAGAUCCAUUUAGAACCAAUAGACUUUCGAUUGUUUGGUAAUUCAACUAAUUCCCAAACAUUAUUUUUCCUCAUAGAGUUUAAUUCUUCCUGCAUGGCUUCCAUCCAAAGAUUUGAUUCAGGACUUGCCAAUGCAGCUUUGAAUGAUUUUGGUUCUUCCUCUAAGUUCUGAAUUUUAGAGUGCACUUCCCCCAGAAAAACAAAAUACUCAUCUAAAUAUGCAGGUGGUUGUGUAUUCCUCCCACUUCUCCUAGGCAUGCUAUUCGAAAUAGAGUUAGUAGAUUGACUAGCAUCAUUAUUUUCCUGAACUAGAGGUUCAGUUUUAGGUAAAGAGAUAUCUUCAGGUUCUACUAAUAAUUCCACCCUAGCUCGUUUAACACGGCGAGGUGUAUCCUGAUCAAGAAAAACUGCAUCUCCACUUUCAAUCAAUUUCUUUCUUUGAGGAUCCCAAAAACGGUAACCAUUAGAACCUGAUGCAUAACCAAUAAAAAUUCCUGGGGUACUUUUAGAUUGUAGUUUGGUGCGCAACUGGCUAGGUAUCCUUAUUUGAGCAUUACACCCCCAAACGGCCAAAUGGCGAAGUGAGGGCUUCCUUCCCUUCCAAAGCUCAUAGGGUGUUACCCUUACAGCUUUAGAAGGUGAGUGAUUCAAUAAAUAUACAGCAGUGUGAAGUGCCUCUCCCCAAAAAGACAAUGGCAAGUCAGAAUAAGCCAUCAUAGACCUAACCAUAUCCAUUAAAGUCCUAUUCCUUCUUUCCGCCACUCCAUUCUGUUGUGGAGUAUAUGGCAAGGUAUAGUGAUGAAUAAUGCCAUGUUCUUUGCAGAAAUCAUCUAGUAUUCCUGACGUGUAUUCACCACCACGGGCAGUUCUAAGUAUUUUAAUUUUCUUGUUUAGCUGAUUUUCCACUUCCGCUUUGAACACUUUAAAAGCAUCAAAUCCUUCUGAUUUGUGUUUAAGCAAAUACACAUAACCGUACCUUGAAUAGUCAUCUAUGAAAGUGAUAAAGUAGAUUUUCUGCCCUCCCAAAGUGGGUGUGGAAAAUUCCCCACAAAUGUCAGAGUGAACAAUGGCAAGCUGUUCUGUUGAUCUAUUUGCUUUGGGAAAAGGCGACCUUGUCAUUUUACCCAUAAUACAUGCUUCACAAAUACCAUAAUCCUCCCACUUAAAGUUCAAAAUUCUAGAACUAAUAAGUCUCUUAAUCCUAUUCUUAGAUAUAUGUCCAAGUCGCAAAUGCCACAAGUAAGAUUCGAAACAAUUAUUCUGUCCAUUUAUAUUCCUCACAACGGAGUUAUCUUCGCCUACUAAGCAAUUAUUUUCCAUGAUGUCAUUUAGAAAAUAUAGUCCAUCAUGUCUAUCGCCUGAAUGUACUAAUCUUCCAUUUAAGACAAUUUUAGCCUUCCCAUCACCAAAGAUAAUUUUAUAUCCAAUUGACUCUAGUUUGGACACUGAAACUAGAUUCCUUCUCAUAUUGGGUGAAUAAAGUGCAUUUUCCAACACUAAGUUUCCUCCAUCAGGGAGUUUAAGCACAUAGUUUCCAAUUCGUAGUAUGUCUGCUUUAGCUUGAGUUCCUAAAUAGACAUGUCUUGUUCCUUUUGGAAUUGUUUUGAGUGUGGCAAAAGAGCUAGGUUCUCUAGCUAUGUGUGAAGUUGCACCAGAAUCUACUACCCAACUAUUCUGAAAAGUAGUAGUAAAUAAGAAUUCAGUGCAAACAUAAACAUCGGUAAUACCUUCAGGGGAUUGAUUCCCCUUGCGGCUGUCAUCCUUGUGAAAAUUAUCCCUUUCGCUGUUCGGCUUCCUCCUCUUGGUGCAUUCUGACCUGAAGUGGCCUGUAUUACCACAAUUAUGGCACUUGUAGUUCCUCUUGUCAAUCUUCUGAAAAGAGUUGUUGUUGUUCUUGUUAUUUCCAUGCUGCCCCCUGUCCCUCCUCUCAUCUCUGUAGUUCCUUUGAUCCCUGUCACGUUUAUAAUUGAUCUUGUCCCUUAGGUCCGGUCCUCCUCCUCUCUUAUUCCAAUUCCUCCGGUUCCCAUUGUUUUUGUACUCACCAAGGUGAAGCUCUGGCUGAUAAGAAGCUUUAUCUUUCCCUGAGUUAAGCCUGCGAUCCUCCUCCAUUAGCAAGUGUUGCCUCAGGUUCCUCAUAUUGAGUGUGCAUUCUGAAUGACAAAAAGAAAUCUUGAACUGUUCCCAUGAUGGUGGCAAAGAAUUCAGAACAACCAUGACUUGUACUUCCUCCUGGAACGGAUAACCAGCAGUUUUUAAUUCUUCCGCCAAGACACAGAGCUUGUUGAAGUGUUCAUUGACUGUUUUAUCACCCAUCUUCGAUGUCAGAAACUUGUUCACAAGACUAAGCACCUUCACAAGGGAAACUUCUCCAAAAUCUUGUUCCAGCCUGAGCAUUAUUCCACAAGCUGUUCCAUCUGACUCAUAUUCCGCAGCCAACGAAUCAGUCAUCGAGCCAAGGAUAUAAACUCUGGCAGUCUUGUUGUCCUUGGUCCAUUGCUUCAGUUCAUCAUUGUAUUCCUGCUUUUCUUCAUCUGUAGCAUCCUCUGCUGGCUCAUUAGGCGCCGGAGUUUCAGAAACAUAAUCAAUAUUCUCAGCCGUAAGCAAGAACAUGAUUUUCCUUUUCCAAACCGUGUAGUUUGUUCCAUCAAGUUUGUAGGCACGGAGUAAUUCAGCGAACACCCCAUUGGAAGCCAUUGAAAUUGGUUUCUUCUUCAGUUACCUGAAGUUCCUGUCGUUGUUGAUGUCGGAGCAGUCCUUGCCGUGGACGCGAAGCAGGCCGGCGAGAGUUGGUCAGGGCGAGCUUGACGAGGCGGCAGUAAGCUGGCGACGAACAUGGCGGGCUCCCUCCGGCUCGGCAAGGUUGACGAGGCAAACGUCGAUGGGGAACGGCGCGAACGUCGAGGAGGAGCCGGCCACGAGCGGUGGCAGGGUCGGCCCGAGGUGGAUGGGGAGGCGGACCAGAGGUGGUGAUGUGGGCGUGGGGUGGAUGCGGCGGCGUUGGGCGCUGAUGCGAGCGGAGCGGCGGCGCUGAUUGGUGGAGGUCGAGCAAUGCGGCGGCGGCGCUCGGUCGAGAGGAAUCGAGCCAGAUCGAUCUAAUCUUGGGUGGAGCUGUUGUGUACGUACAUGCCUAUCUCUUUCCCUUUUUUUAAGGAAAGAAAGACAGAGUAUGCAGCGGAAUACUAAUCCAGAUCGUAAUUGAUUCGACGACUAACAAAAUCGUCAAACCCUUAAUCGGCUCUGGUGCCAAUGUAAGAGAUAUACGCACACGGUCUAACCCUUAUUUCUCGAUUCUUUUCCGUGGUUUCGCUUACAAUGAUCAAUUGAGGCUAGGGGUUAGGGACCUUUAUAUAGUGUUAUUCCAGUUAAUUUCAAACUGUAUAAACUGCAGAUAAAUGUCCAGAUAAAAUCUGUUUAAACGAAGACUCCAGGUUAACUUAACCAACCACGAUCAUUAGUAACCAUCAAGGAGUUUCAUCUGCAAACUGUCCCAUAAGCACGUACGUGUGAGUCGCACGCUGAAUUUGAAUUACAAUUCGAAUUCACAGGCUUUACCAAUUCAUGGAGCCAAUCCCAUGAACAACCUGGCAUUCCAUAAUAUGCUGUGCCCGGACUAAUAUACAUUUAGUACAAUAAAUAUUCCAGCAUUAAUAAAUAUUGUUUCCAGCAUAUAUGUACCGGCUUCCAUGAACUAUAUUCCAUUCAUGUAUUCCAAGCAAUAUUCAAGUGCAUCAGUAAAUUCCAUAUCGAGGUAAACAUAUUCCAGGAACUAUGUAGUAAAAAUGUUGCAAGCCAC
Molecule: long non-coding RNA, 5471 nt
Filed under: Triticum aestivum (bread wheat)
Lineage: Eukaryota; Viridiplantae; Streptophyta; Magnoliopsida; Poales; Poaceae
Description: long non-coding RNA (TAES_LNC020891)
Source: RNAcentral